Molecule: ribosomal RNA, 254 nt
Filed under: uncultured bacterium
Lineage: Bacteria
Description: partial 16S ribosomal RNA
Rfam family: Bacterial small subunit ribosomal RNA
Source: RNAcentral
UACGUAGGGUGCAAGCGUUAAUCGGAAUUACUGGGCGUAAAGCGUGCGCAGGCGGCUAUGCAAGACAGAUGUGAAAUCCCCGGGCUCAACCUGGGAACUGCAUUUGUGACUGCAUGGCUAGAGUGCGGCAGAGGGGGAUGGAAUUCCGCGUGUAGCAGUGAAAUGACGUAGAUAUGCGGAGGAACACCGAUGGCGAAGGCAAUCCCCUGGGCCUGCACUGACGCUCAUGCACGAAAGCGUGGGGAGCAAACAGG